This 1507-nucleotide ribosomal RNA is filed under the name Helicobacter pylori. Its description in RNAcentral is "bacterial SSU rRNA". It matches the Rfam family "Bacterial small subunit ribosomal RNA". Lineage: Bacteria; Pseudomonadati; Campylobacterota; Epsilonproteobacteria; Campylobacterales; Helicobacteraceae. The record is from RNAcentral.
UUUAUGGAGAGUUUGAUCCUGGCUCAGAGUGAACGCUGGCGGCGUGCCUAAUACAUGCAAGUCGAACGAUGAAGCUUCUAGCUUGCUAGAAUGCUGAUUAGUGGCGCACGGGUGAGUAAUGCAUAGGUCAUGUGCCUCUUAGUUUGGGAUAGCCAUUGGAAACGAUGAUUAAUACCAGAUACUCCCUACGGGGGAAAGAUUUAUCGCUAAGAGAUCAGCCUAUGUCCUAUCAGCUUGUUGGUAAGGUAAUGGCUUACCAAGGCUAUGACGGGUAUCCGGCCUGAGAGGGUGAACGGACACACUGGAACUGAGACACGGUCCAGACUCCUACGGGAGGCAGCAGUAGGGAAUAUUGCUCAAUGGGGGAAACCCUGAAGCAGCAACGCCGCGUGGAGGAUGAAGGUUUUAGGAUUGUAAACUCCUUUUGUUAGAGAAGAUAAUGACGGUAUCUAACGAAUAAGCACCGGCUAACUCCGUGCCAGCAGCCGCGGUAAUACGGAGGGUGCAAGCGUUACUCGGAAUCACUGGGCGUAAAGAGCGCGUAGGCGGGAUAGUCAGUCAGGUGUGAAAUCCUAUGGCUUAACCAUAGAACUGCAUUUGAAACUACUAUUCUAGAGUGUGGGAGAGGUAGGUGGAAUUCUUGGUGUAGGGGUAAAAUCCGUAGAGAUCAAGAGGAAUACUCAUUGCGAAGGCGACCUGCUGGAACAUUACUGACGCUGAUUGCGCGAAAGCGUGGGGAGCAAACAGGAUUAGAUACCCUGGUAGUCCACGCCCUAAACGAUGGAUGCUAGUUGUUGGAGGGCUUAGUCUCUCCAGUAAUGCAGCUAACGCAUUAAGCAUCCCGCCUGGGGAGUACGGUCGCAAGAUUAAAACUCAAAGGAAUAGACGGGGACCCGCACAAGCGGUGGAGCAUGUGGUUUAAUUCGAGGAUACACGAAGAACCUUACCUAGGCUUGACAUUGAGAGAAUCCGCUAGAAAUAGUGGAGUGUCUGGCUUGCCAGACCUUGAGAACAGGUGCUGCACGGCUGUCGUCAGCUCGUGUCGUGAGAUGUUGGGUUAAGUCCCGCAACGAGCGCAACCCCCUUUCUUAGUUGCUAACAGGUUAUGCUGAGAACUCUAAGGAUACUGCCUCCGUAAGGAGGAGGAAGGUGGGGACGACGUCAAGUCAUCAUGGCCCUUACGCCUAGGGCUACACACGUGCUACAAUGGGGUGCACAAAGAGAAGCAAUACUGCGAAGUGGAGCCAAUCUUCAAAACACCUCUCAGUUCGGAUUGUAGGCUGCAACUCGCCUGCAUGAAGCUGGAAUCGCUAGUAAUCGCAAAUCAGCCAUGUUGCGGUGAAUACGUUCCCGGGUCUUGUACUCACCGCCCGUCACACCAUGGGAGUUGUGUUUGCCUUAAGUCAGGAUGCUAAAUUGGCUACUGCCCACGGCACACACAGCGACUGGGGUGAAGUCGUAACAAGGUAACCGUAGGUGAACCUGCGGUUGGAUCACCUCCUUUCUA